UGGGGAAUAUUGGACAAUGGGCGAAAGCCUGAUCCAGCCAUGCCGCGUGAGUGACGAAGGCCUUAGGGUUGUAAAACUCUUUCGUCGGGGACGAUAAUGACGGUACCCGAAGAAGAAGCUCCGGCUAACUUCGUGCCAGCAGCCGCGGUAAUACGAAGGGAGCUAGCGUUGUUCGGAAUCACUGGGCGUAAAGCGCACGUAGGCGGAUAGUUAAGUCAGGGGUGAAAUCCUGGGGCUCAACCCCAGAACUGCCUUUGAUACUGGCUGUCUCGAGGUCGAGAGAGGUUGGUGGAAUUCCUAGUGUAGAGGUGAAAUUCGUAGAUAUUAGGAAGAACACCAGUGGCGAAGGCGGCCAACUGGCUCGAUACUGACGCUGAGGUGCGAAAGCGUGUGGAGCAAACAGGAUUAGAUACCCCCGUAGUCCCUGAGCGGGCUGGCAAGGCGCAU
Molecule: ribosomal RNA, 447 nt
Filed under: uncultured bacterium
Lineage: Bacteria
Description: bacterial SSU rRNA
Rfam family: Bacterial small subunit ribosomal RNA
Source: RNAcentral